This 495-nucleotide ribosomal RNA is filed under the name uncultured Desulfobulbus sp. RNAcentral describes it as "bacterial SSU rRNA". It matches the Rfam family "Bacterial small subunit ribosomal RNA", at positions 894 to 1382 of the family's 1533-position model. The record is from RNAcentral. Lineage: Bacteria; Pseudomonadati; Thermodesulfobacteriota; Desulfobulbia; Desulfobulbales; Desulfobulbaceae.
CAGAAACUACAAAGGAAGUUGACGGGGCCCGCACAAGCGGUGGAGUAUGUGGUUUAAUUCGAUGCAACGCGAAGAACCUUACCUGGUCUUGACAUCCCGGAGACCCUUAGGAAACUAGGGGGUGCUUCCAUCUGGAAGAAUCUGGAGACAGGUGCUGCAUGGCUGUCGUCAGCUCGUGUCGUGAGAUGUUGGGUCAAGUCCCGCAACGAGCGCAACCCUUGCCUUUAGUUGCCAGCAGUUCGGCUGGGCACUCUAAAGGGACUGCCGGUGUUAAACCGGAGGAAGGUGGGGAUGACGUCAAGUCCUCAUGGCCUUUAUGACCAGGGCUACACACGUACUACAAUGGCCGAUACAAAGGGCAGCGACACUGCGAGGUGAAGCCAAUCCCGUAAAAUCGGUCUCAGUCCGGACUGGAGUCUGCAACUCGACUCCAUGAAGUUGGAAUCGCUAGUAAUCGUGGAUCAGCAUGCCACGGUGAAUACGUUCCCGGGCCUU